UGAGGAAUAUUGGUCAAUGGGCGGAAGCCUGAACCAGCCAAGUAGCGUGCAGGAUGACGGCCCUAUGGGUUGUAAACUGCUUUUAUACAGGAAUAAAGUUAGCCACGUGUGGUUAUUUGUAGGUACUGUAUGAAUAAGGACCGGCUAAUUCCGUGCCAGCAGCCGCGGUAAUACGGAAGGUCCAGGCGUUCUCCGGAGUUAUUGGGGUUAAAGGGAGCGUAGGCCGUCUGUUAAGCGUGUGGUGAAAUGUAGAUGCUCAACAUCUGAAUUGCAGCGCGAACUGGCAGACUUGAGUGUGCGCAACGUAGGCGGAAUUCGUGGUGUAGCGGUGAAAUGCUUAGAUAUCACGAAGAACUCCGAUUGCGAAGGCAGCUUACGGGAGCACAACUGACGCUGAAGCUCGAAAGUGCGGGUAUCGAACA
This 422-nucleotide ribosomal RNA is filed under the name uncultured prokaryote. Its description in RNAcentral is "bacterial SSU rRNA". It matches the Rfam family "Bacterial small subunit ribosomal RNA", at positions 355 to 774 of the family's 1533-position model. The record is from RNAcentral.